Non-coding RNA from Vicia faba (fava bean), 258 nucleotides. The record is from the annotation of a GenBank genome assembly. NCBI's taxonomy places the organism in Eukaryota, Viridiplantae, Streptophyta, Magnoliopsida, Fabales, Fabaceae.
AUGUUGUUAAAAGCGGUUGGAGCGGCUGCUAUAGCGGUGCAAUGCGGAAAAUUCGGCCAGGCUGCUUCCGGUAGUACCUGCACAGCACGAAAUGGAGAUGCGGCUUGGGUCCUGGAGCGGGUAGUACCUGCACAGCACGAAAUGGAGAUGCGGCUUGGGUCCUGGAGCGGGUCACGUGCGGCGAAAGCAACCACUUUUCUAUUUUCGCGGGUUGGAUACACCCAGUUGCUUUUAAAACGGUUAAAACCCUAUUUCUAA